RNAcentral lists this ribosomal RNA (449 nucleotides) under Salmonella enterica subsp. enterica serovar Enteritidis. RNAcentral's name for it is "bacterial SSU rRNA". It matches the Rfam family "Bacterial small subunit ribosomal RNA", at positions 102 to 547 of the family's 1533-position model. The record is from RNAcentral. Lineage: Bacteria; Pseudomonadati; Pseudomonadota; Gammaproteobacteria; Enterobacterales; Enterobacteriaceae.
ACGGGUGAGUAAUGUCUGGGAAACUGCCUGAUGGAGGGGGAUAACUACUGGAAACGGUGGCUAAUACCGCAUAACGUCGCAAGACCAAAGAGGGGGACCUUCGGGCCUCUUGCCAUCAGAUGUGCCCAGAUGGGAUUAGCUUGUUGGUGAGGUAACGGCUCACCAAGGCGACGAUCCCUAGCUGGUCUGAGAGGAUGACCAGCCACACUGGAACUGAGACACGGYCCAGACUCCUACGGGAGGCAGCAGUGGGGAAUAUUGCACAAUGGGCGCAAGCCUGAUGCAGCCAUGCCGCGUGUAUGAAGAAGGCCUUCGGGUUGUAAAGUACUUUCAGCGGGGAGGAAGGUGUUGUGGUUAAUAACCGCAGCAAUUGACGUUACCCGCAGAAGAAGCACCGGCUAACUCCGUGCCAGCAGCCGCGGUAAUACGGAGGGUGCAAGCGUUAAUCG